GCCUUAUGGCCACGUGGGGCUUUUAAUCAAUCUUCCUGGCUCAAGAUGUGUGAAGGAGAGUGCUGAUUAGCCCGGGCUGAUAAACCACCAGCACUCUUGAAUUGUUUAUCCCCGUUAAUCUGCUUUGAGACCAUGACAGCCACUGUUGAGGCAAGCUUUUGGUAGUUUCAGCAGGGAGUACAAUGUUUUUUGGUACUAAGGGAGGGAAAGAAAAGUUUCCUAUAACUGUACAGGAGAGGAAAGAAAGAGAACCCCCUAAGCCUUGUGCCUACUUAGCCAGACCUAAAUGAGAGUGAGAUUACACAGCAUUAGUUUUUCUUUUGCUCCCUAGGCUGAAGAAGAGCAAGAGAGAAUAAGAGGAAAGCAAGUAUUCGACAAUAUUUGCAGCCAGCUGGAACAAAAAGUGGGGAAAAACUGCCACCAAGAAUGGAGUUACCAUCCACAGAUACAAAAUACGCAUCAUGCUCACACAAGUGGACACUGAGGUUUGCUGCUCCACCACCACUACGUGAGGACAAAGUGAAGGAGGCAGAUGUAAACAUCCUACACUCAGUACAUCAGGGAGAAGUUGUGGUUCUGUCUUCUCCAUCACCAAAACAGAGAACUGGAAAUGUAACAUUAAAGAAGUGCUAAAACCUAGUCCUUGAACAAUUUUUCCUUUCAAGAUGUGUUUUCUCUCUUAAAGCACGUUGUCUUUCUGCAUGCCCUUAUAUUACUUUUUCAUACGUGCCUCCCAAUAAAGAUGUCUGAAUGCUUACAUAUUUUUUCACUAUCUCCUCUUUCCUGUUUGUUCCUAGUGUCUUUUGUGGUCCAUUAGCUAGGUGAAAAAUAACAAACCAAGUCCAUGCUACAGGGAACUCAGCUCUGCAAAGCUGGGGAGUGCUCUGCCUCUGCCAGUGGACAACCCAGAGAACCAUCAGCUUUCUUUUAUACUCACUUCUAACCAGGCUUCUAAUGGUAGGUACCUCAAACAUCACUCUCCCUGAACUUCUCAUGCAGUCCUGGUUCCCAAGGCCUAACUAAACUAAGUUUCAAAGGCUGAAAAUGUGAAUACCCUCUUCAAAGACAAGGUAUAGCAGAUUUUAUCAUAUACAAAUUCUAUUUUGGAUUUUAUCAGUUCUUUGUCAGCAGCUCGGAAUCAGGGAGAGAACUUUUCCACUUGCUGGUAAAUGAUACAAACACACUGGGCUGCUGUAUAGGACUGCUAUUGCUGUCAAAACUCUUUGCCUUGGAAGUCAUCCAAUUUCAUUCUACCAUGGUAUCAAUGUGAGCUUAUCUCAGUCACAGAUGUCCAUUCCUCUCUUAUAGUUUUAUAGAAGUCUGCUAAAAUUACAGCUUUUAUAUAAAGUCCAGUACAGUAAAUAAAAAUACCCCAAAAAGUUUCCACUGACUGUACAAAUUGUGAAAACACAAGUGUUAUUUAACAGCCUGACAGGAAUUUCCAACAUCAUCCUUUUUGUGAACACUAAACAC
RNAcentral lists this long non-coding RNA (1473 nucleotides) under Ficedula albicollis (Collared flycatcher). RNAcentral describes it as "lncRNA (ENSFALG00000028485.1)". The record is from RNAcentral. Lineage: Eukaryota; Metazoa; Chordata; Aves; Passeriformes; Muscicapidae.